AUUGUACGCUGGCGUCAUGCUUUACACAUGCAACUCGAACGGUAACAGGCCGCAAGGUGCUGACGAGUGGCGAACGGGUGAGUAAUUCAUCGGAACGUGCCCAGUCGUGGGGGAUAACUACUCGAAAUAGUAGCUAAUACCGCAUACGAUCUAUGGAUGACAGCGGGGGACCGUAAGGCCUCGCGCGCUUGCAGCGGCCCAUGUCAGAUUAGGUAGGUGGUGGGGUAAAGUCUCACCAAGCCAACGAUCUGUAGCUGGUCUGAGAGGACGACCAGCCACACUGGGGAUGAGACACGGCCCAGGCGCCUACGGGAGGGAGCAGUGGGGAAUUUUGGACAAUGCGCGCAAGCCUGAUCCAGCAAUGCCGCGUGCAGGAAGAAGGCCUUCGGGUUGUAAACUGCUUUUGUACGGAACGAAACGGCUCUGGUUAAUACCCGGGGCUAAUGAGGGUACCGUAAGAAUAGGCACCGGCUAACUACGUG
RNAcentral lists this ribosomal RNA (482 nucleotides) under uncultured bacterium. RNAcentral describes it as "partial 16S ribosomal RNA". It matches the Rfam family "Bacterial small subunit ribosomal RNA", at positions 30 to 507 of the family's 1533-position model. The record is from RNAcentral.